AGCAGCCGCGGUAAUUCCAGCUCCAAUAGCGUAUAUUAAAGUUGUUGCAGUUAAAAAGCUCGUAGUUGAAUUUCGGGGCUAGUAGGUUGGUCAUGCCUCUGGUAUGUACUGGUCUCACUGAUUCCUCCUUCCUGAUGAACCUUAAUGCCAUUAAUUUGGUGUUUUGGGGAAUUUGGACUGUUACUUUGAAAAAAUUUAGAGUGUUUAAAGCAAGCUAACGCUUGAAUACAUUAGCAUGGAAUAAUGAAAUAGGACGUUCGAUCCUAUUUUGUUGGUUUCUAGGAUUGACGUAAUGAUUAAUAGGGAUAGUUGGGGGCAUUAGUAUUCAAUUGUCAGAGGUGAAAUUCUUGGAUUUAUUGAAGACUAACUACUGCGAAAGCAUUUGCCAAGGAUGUUUUCAUUAAUCAAGAACGAAAGUUAGGGGAUCGAAGACGAUCAGAUACCGUCGUAGUCUUAACCAUAAACUAUGCCGACUAGGGAUCGGAUGAUGUUAAUUUUUUUAAUGACUCAUUCGGCGCCU
Molecule: ribosomal RNA, 520 nt
Filed under: uncultured Glomus
Lineage: Eukaryota; Fungi; Glomeromycota; Glomeromycetes; Glomerales; Glomeraceae
Description: SSU rRNA
Rfam family: Eukaryotic small subunit ribosomal RNA
Source: RNAcentral